AUUCUUUAAUUAUUUUUUAUUUUAAAUAUUAUGAAAAAGCUAAUUAUAGCUAUGGCGAUAAAUGUUUGAUUUAUGAACCGAAGCGGACCCGGGGGCGGUACCCGGCGCCU
Molecule: transfer-messenger RNA, 110 nt
Filed under: Rickettsiales bacterium
Lineage: Bacteria; Pseudomonadati; Pseudomonadota; Alphaproteobacteria; Rickettsiales
Description: partial transfer-messenger RNA
Rfam family: Alphaproteobacteria transfer-messenger RNA
About the family: Bacterial tmRNA, also known as 10Sa RNA or SsrA, is named for its dual tRNA and mRNA-like properties. Its role is to liberate the mRNA from a stalled ribosome.
Source: RNAcentral